AUGGAGCAAAACCCUAAAAGCGGUCUCAGUUCGGAUUGAAGGCUGAAAUUCGCCUUCAUGAAGCUGGAAUUGCUAGUAAUGGCAGGUCAGCAUACUGCCGUGAAUACGUUCCCGGGCCUUUGUACACACCGCCCGUCACACCAUGAGAGUUGGAAAUACCCGAAGCCUGUGAGCUAACUGUAAAGAGGCAGCAGUCGAAGGUAGAGCCAAUGAUUGGGGUGAAGUCGUAACAAGGUAUC
Molecule: ribosomal RNA, 239 nt
Filed under: uncultured bacterium
Lineage: Bacteria
Description: partial 16S ribosomal RNA
Rfam family: Bacterial small subunit ribosomal RNA
Source: RNAcentral